AGUGAACGCUGGCGGCAGGCCUAAUACAUGCAAGUCGAACGGCAGCACAGCAGAGCUUGCUCUGUGGGUGGCGAGUGGCGGACGGGUGAGGAAUACAUGGGAAUCUGCCCAGUCGUGGGGGAUAACGUAUGGAAACGUACGCUAAUACCGCAUGCGCCCUACGGGGGAAAGCCGGGGACCGCAAGGCCUGGCGCGAUUGGAUGAGCCCAUGUUCGAUUAGCUAGUUGGCGGGGUAAAGGCCCACCAAGGCGACGAUCGAUAGCUGGUCUGAGAGGAUGAUCAGCCACACUGGAACUGAGACACGGUCCAGACUCCUACGGGAGGCAGCAGUAGGGAAUAUUGGACAAUGGGGGCAACCCUGAUCCAGCCAUGCCGCGUGAGUGAAGAAGGCCCUCGGGUUGUAAAGCUCUUUUGUCCGGAAAGAAAGCAAUCGGUUAAUACCCGGU
This 446-nucleotide ribosomal RNA is filed under the name uncultured bacterium. RNAcentral describes it as "bacterial SSU rRNA". It matches the Rfam family "Bacterial small subunit ribosomal RNA", at positions 29 to 472 of the family's 1533-position model. The record is from RNAcentral.